Molecule: long non-coding RNA, 272 nt
Filed under: Setaria viridis
Lineage: Eukaryota; Viridiplantae; Streptophyta; Magnoliopsida; Poales; Poaceae
Description: long non-coding RNA (SVIR_LNC008137)
Source: RNAcentral
UGGGGAGGAGAGAGAGGGCUGCUCGCUGCUGCUCUUUGAAAAUUCCAACCGGGACAAAAGCUACCCCUUUGUCCCGGUUGGUAAUUCCAACCAGGACUAAAUCUUUUAUCCCGGUUGGAUAGACCAACCAGGAUAAAAGGAAUGGCCUUAAGUUCCGAUUGGUGGCUCCAAUCGGGAUAAAAAGUCCUUCCCACGCGGCCCCCCUCUCUCUCCAUGUUAUUUUUCUCCUCACACCCUUCCACCGGCAUAGCACUCCUCUCCACUCCUUAUCC